ACGGGUGAGGAAUACAUCGGAAUCUACUUUUUCGUGGGGGAUAACGUAGGGAAACUUACGCUAAUACCGCAUACGACCUACGGGUGAAAGCAGGGGAUCUUCGGACCUUGCGCGAUUGAAUGAGCCGAUGUCGGAUUAGCUAGUUGGCGGGGUAAAGGCCCACCAAGGCGACGAUCCGUAGCUGGUCUGAAAGGAUGAUCAGCCACACUGGAACUGAGACACGGUCCAGACUCCUACGGGAGGCAGCAGUGGGGAAUAUUGGACAAUGGGCGCAAGCCUGAUCCAGCCAUACCGCGUGGGUGAAGAAGGCCUUCGGGUUGUAAAGCCCUUUUGUUGGGAAAGAAAUCCAGCCGGCUAAUACCUGGUUGGGAUGACGGUACCCAAAGAAUAAGCACCGGCUAACUUCGUGCCAGCAGCCGCGGUAAUACGAAGGGUGCAAGCGUUACUCGGAAUUACUGGGCGUAAAGCGUGCGUAGGUGGUUGUUUAAGUCUGUUGUGAAAGCCCUGGGCUCAACCUGGGAACUGCAGUGGAAACUGGACAACUAGAGUGUGGUAGAGGGUAGCGGAAUUCCCGGUGUAGC
This 581-nucleotide ribosomal RNA is filed under the name Stenotrophomonas sp. HRTK175. Its description in RNAcentral is "bacterial SSU rRNA". It matches the Rfam family "Bacterial small subunit ribosomal RNA", at positions 102 to 679 of the family's 1533-position model. The record is from RNAcentral. Lineage: Bacteria; Pseudomonadati; Pseudomonadota; Gammaproteobacteria; Lysobacterales; Lysobacteraceae.